GCUGGAGAUCCUUAUGUACCUGAGGCCUUCUGAAGUUUUCUUCUUGAGUGGAAUUUUGGUUCAGAACAGCAUUGCCUCCUGAUAAAUCCGAGUCCUUAGAUGAUCCCUCUUCAAGCAACCAAUUUGGAUAAAGUUGAGAAAGUGCUUAAGCGAGCCGAAGCUUAUCUCAUUUUCAACAGUCAAUUCAGAGUCUAAAGUCUCAUGGAAAAAAUCAGCAAAACUCAAGGCUCCUUAAUUAAUGAGGUGCUUUCAUAAAUUUUCCUCUUUGGUGGAAUUCUUUUCUGACAAGAGAAAAAUGUGGUGUUGAUGAUGUCUCAAGCCCUAAGAAGGGAUAAAAAAACUUGUACAAGGCUCUUCCCACACUCAAGGACGUUUACAUCUUUUUCAUCUGCUUGCUGUCUAGCACACUGAAGUGUCCUGCUACAGCUGGGGUACUCUCUAUCAGCUGGGAUCUUUAUCAUCUGGAAAAGUUUUACCAUUCUUCUGAUGGAAAACCUUUAUCCAGCCAUCAUGCAGAAAGGAUAUUUUAUGAUACUGCAAAGUGUUCUGCCAAAGCUUGUGCCAGAGUUGCUUGUCUUUAGAAGCUCAAGGGCACACAACAGCUUUUUGUGUGGGCCAUUGAGGAGAGCCUCCAUCUUCUCCCUGUUUUUUUUCAUUGUUUUCAACUUUAAAUCUCAAAGUGAAUAAAAAUUCUUCCUGAUCUGCAGGCCGUAGCUUAAUUUGUAUUUCAUAGGUGGGUAGAUGCCCUGCUCUUAGGAGUGUAUUACCCAUUUCUUUCUUCUGAGAGCUAUGGGAAGUCCUGGAGCAGCUCACAGGCAGGAGAGAAGCAGAUGUCCCUUGAUGCAUCAGCUGAUCAGUAAAGGACAGGGCAGUCAGCAGGCUUUUGUCAUUGCUUGGCAGUGCCAGCAUAGCUACCUCUGCCUCAGCCAGCCCAGACCCAGAUUCUAUGACAGCAAUGUUUCAGGUAGCUUACUGACUGUCACAGAGCACAGCUUGGAGCUGGGUCUCAACUGCUCAUGCACAGCCACUGGACCAUGUACAUGGCACAAACAAUUUGCUUCUACCUAAGACAUCUCUCCUUGGCAAGACUACAAAUAAUCACCUCUUAGCACAGGAAUAAUAAUGAAAUUAUCAAUUUCUUGAACAUUUUGGAAAUAGUACAUAACCCUUACACCCGCUUUCUUUGUCUCAGUGCUUCCAACUGAAGGAAGAGCACUACUAAAUUAGACCAGGUCUUGAUGCUGCUGCUACCUCAAUGUAGUAGCUACAAGAUCUCCAUAGAAGUAAUCAGCUCUCAUAUUAGUUGGCAAAGUGGUGGGUUAGCAUUGCAUACAGCAGCUCCUUUUCACUCAAGCUUCCAUGUAGGAUGCUGGUAGGAAAGAGGUAGAUAGCUAUGAUAGGAUAGGACAGAUGCUGUGUAGCACAGGAUGGGUAGAGCAGAUGCAGGUAAUAACUGAGAUUCUACCCUGGCUUUUGUGUACAUCAGGACUUUUUAUUUGUUUUGUAUCUGUAUAUUAUCUGGUGUAAUUGGGUCCUGAUCUGUGGGCAGGGUUCCGUAACACAAACAAAUACCACCAUGACUAAUGACAGACCCUUGUGUAACUGCCCCAAACUUGAUGAAAGUUGUGAGUGGUCUGAGUCAGUGCCAUUGUGUAAAGGGAUAAUUUCUGCUUUGGCAGUGUUGUGACCAGCUGGAAUUGUUCUCUCUGAUAAUUGCCAAUCUGGAUUUCUCCCAGAUGGCAGCAUCUCAUAAAGAGUAUCUGUGAAGAGCUGUGAUCCACUCUUUAUUAAGGCUCCACGAGAGAGCUGUUCAUCCCUGUCACCCCUUGUCCGUUGCCUCAGGCAGGUCUCCUGUCAAUUUGCAGAACAAGUCAUUGCUCUGUGUUUAUUUUUCCUUUUUAUUUUAUUCCUUUUUAGAAACUUGUAUUUAUUACCUUGGCAGCAAGCCAACCAGCAAGGAACAAACUGUUUUGUGGCAGGAAAGAUGAGACAUUCUGCCUUGGAUCAGCCUAAAGCAAUGCCCCCUGAUCUUCACUGUGCUGUCUUCUAACCCCCCAGGUUGCAUUUAACGAGGUUGCAUUUCCCUGAGACUUGUUUCUUCAGCAGCAAGAGGGUAAAAGAAGAGCUUAUUCUGCGUGUCUGUCCAAGGCUCCUUGUGCCCAAACCUUUCUACAGCAUGCUCCCAUUUAACACGCAGGAUAUCCCACAGCUUUACCAGACAUAUUGAGUGGUUGGCAGCGUAGAUCUGGCUGGUGGUCUUUGUUUCUCCACAUCACAGAAACUGAAGGGAGGAGAACUUCCUGUGAGAGCUCAGAGGUGGAGGAGUGAAGGAUCUAGGACAGCUCAAUGCUACUCAUCUCCCCCCUGCAAAUUCUUUGAUCUUUCUGAAUGCAGAGAGAAGAGUGUUGCUAUAGAAACCAAUGGGGAAAAUGUACAUUUUAUCACAUUUUAUAUCUUGUUCUAAGGAGACCCUUUAAUCUUAGCCCGCCACGAUGUAUUUUUACAGAAACAAUAUUGCUAAUAAAAACCCUAAGAGUAGUAGCAGCAAUAUCAAAUCAAAUGAAAUAAUCAUCACUUAUUUCAAAAACACUUCUGCUCAUAACCCUCAACCCUAGCCAAGAUGCUGGGAGAGGGAUAGAAAGAUUAGCUAUGGCAUGGAACGUGAGAGGAAGAUACAACUAAGGCAGCAAAAAAUGUGGUAGAAGAUGAGGCUGUGUGUGGGUCUGAUGUGGCAAGAAGAGGUUAACAUUUGAAGAAGGGCAAAGUCUAAGUAAACUAUCGUCAGACUUCGUUUGUGUGUAAUGAAACAUAAAAUAGGGUGAAAGCUGCAUUUCUUAAUGUACAGCCAAAUCUACCUUUCCUUUACUCACCCAUCCUCCUAGUGCCACACUGGGGUCUCAAGGAGACAAUGCUGUUUGUGUGAUUGCACCCUGAAAGACUUUUUCUAGCACCAGUCUGGCCUAGUGGCAGCAGUCCUCCUGGGGAUCCUUCAGGACAGAAACCUAAUUUAGUCCUCUGGAUGUCAAAACAGGCUUUCACUCUGCCCUUCCCACCCUCAAUUUAUUCUUUUCUUAAUUCACUGUGACCAUUAUUUCCUUCCUGAUUUGUUCUGACCCUGUGGCUUAAUUAGAUUUUCCUCAUUUUUUUAUGGUAGCUUCUAUAAUGUGUUGAGUUGUAAUUUCGAGACAAGGACUUUUUCACUGUGUAAAGCACUGUACAAAAUUAAUCUCAGCCCUGUCUUAUUCCAGGGCUAUGACUGAUCCUAAGUUGGUUAUAUGUCUCUGCUCCUUGCUCUGAUACAGGGUACACAAAACAAAACAAAAAAAACCUGAGGCUUUGGUUCACUAAUGUUAGGUUUUAUAGACUGCAGU
Molecule: long non-coding RNA, 3371 nt
Organism: Gallus gallus (chicken)
Lineage: Eukaryota; Metazoa; Chordata; Aves; Galliformes; Phasianidae
Exons: 3
Source: RefSeq, a predicted model, not a curated record